ACAGACAAACAUGUAGGCAAAACAGCCGUGCACAUAAAAUAGAAAUAAAUACGUCUUCACAUGUGUGUCAGUAGGUGGCAGAGAGGAGAUGCUGUCUACACUCAGUGUUGUGACCUGUGGCCAUCUGGAUGAUUAGUAGCCGAAUAGU
Molecule: small nucleolar RNA, 148 nt
Filed under: Meriones unguiculatus (Mongolian gerbil)
Lineage: Eukaryota; Metazoa; Chordata; Mammalia; Rodentia; Muridae
Description: Small nucleolar RNA SNORA17 (ENSMUGG00000024141.1)
Rfam family: Small nucleolar RNA SNORA17
About the family: snoRNA ACA 17 belongs to the H/ACA family of snoRNAs and is predicted to guide pseudouridylation of the 28S rRNA at positions U4659 and U4598.
Source: RNAcentral